This 30-nucleotide non-coding RNA is filed under the name Mus musculus (house mouse). The record is from RNAcentral. Lineage: Eukaryota; Metazoa; Chordata; Mammalia; Rodentia; Muridae.
UCAGUAAUUUGAGGACCAAAGAGGCCUGGA